Molecule: ribosomal RNA, 253 nt
Filed under: uncultured bacterium
Lineage: Bacteria
Description: partial 16S ribosomal RNA
Rfam family: Bacterial small subunit ribosomal RNA
Source: RNAcentral
UACGGAGGGUGCAAGCGUUGUUCGGAAUCACUGGGCGUAAAGCGCGUGUAGGCGGCCUCUUAAGUCUGGUGUGAAAGCCCGGGGCUCACCCUCGGAAGGGCACUGGAUACUGGGAGGCUAGAGUACCGGAGAGGAGGGUGGAAUUCCUGGUGUAGCGGUGAAAUGCGUAGAGAUCAGGUGGAACACCGGUGGCGAAGGCGGCCCUCUGGACGGCUACUGACGCUGAGACGCGAAAGAGUGGGGAGCAAACAGG